ACUGCACAUUAUUAAAACUUAGGGGGUUAAGCCAUUAUUUGGCCAGUGAACUCUUUAAGUGUCGGAGAUGUGCUACAAUAAUCUGGCAGGUUUUCGCUGACACCACAAGGGUCUAUGUGGCUCGAUGAGUGGAGUUUGAUAGUAAGCCUUGUCACAAUU
Small nucleolar RNA from Pristis pectinata (smalltooth sawfish), 159 nucleotides. The record is from RefSeq and is a predicted model, not a curated record. NCBI's taxonomy places the organism in Eukaryota, Metazoa, Chordata, Chondrichthyes, Rhinopristiformes, Pristidae.